This 264-nucleotide unclassified non-coding RNA is filed under the name plant metagenome. Its description in RNAcentral is "partial contains small subunit ribosomal RNA and internal transcribed spacer 1". The stretch from base 1 to 46 matches the Rfam family "Eukaryotic small subunit ribosomal RNA", at positions 1786 to 1831 of the family's 1831-position model. The record is from RNAcentral.
AAGUCGUAACAAGGUUUCCGUAGGUGAACCUGCGGAGGGAUCAUUACAAAUAAAGCUGGUAGGAAGUGGGUCGUUGAUCUGUAAGUGGAUAGGAGCGCAAACAGUCCGGCUGCCUCCCGAAAUGUCUUACAUGUCCCCACAGCCACUGAAGGCCGAAUUACAACCCUUGAUUAUCUACACUUGUUGCUUUGGGGUGCUCAAGUGCCCCAGAGGACCCAACUCUCUUGCACUUAGUGACGUCUGAGUACUAUAUAAUAUUUAAAA